UCGAACCGUUUUAGAAACAUCAGUGGCCAACGAUCGUCAGGAUUGUUGAGCUGCAUUGGCGGGAUUUCGCCGUCUACGUUUCUCUUUCUUCGCGGACGAACACGCGCCAGGGGCUUAGCGCUUGUGCGAUGCAUCUGGCGUGAGCCGGCUGCGCGCCAUUGCAGCCCCUCGUGUUAGGGGCUUGUAGCUCAGUUGGUUAGAGCGCGCGCUUGAUAAGCGUGAGGUCGGAAGUUCAAGUCUUCCCAGGCCCACCACUUUGAUCGAGCGCACUACGUCUCAAUAAUCGACGUAAAGCAUUCGUCUUCUGGUACGGGGCCAUAGCUCAGCUGGGAGAGCGCGUGCUUUGCAAGCAUGAGGUCGUCGGUUCGAUCCCGUCUGGCUCCACCAGAUGGAAUUGAAGAUCGACAAAGUGCCCUGCUAACAAGGCGCCUUUCAUAUCGUCCGCGAAACAUCACUUCGCACGCAUUGUCCGGAUGGACAGUGACGUGCGUGAUAUCUGACAUCGUAAAGAGGAGAUCGAUCCGAGUUUGGGAUCUGCAAAGCAAUUUGCGGGCUCUCAUUCCUAAUCUCCAGAUCAUUUCGGCGCUCGCUCAUCGCAACUCAUCGCAAGAUGAGUGAGAUGACUGAGUUGUGAAUGAUCUUUGUAGCGAAGCUUGACCGCCUCGCUAUCGGUUCGAUCUUACGAAGCAAGCUGGUCUUUCUAAUCAGUGUCCAGCCGCAUGCAGCAUUCAUCGAGGGUGCGCGCCUUUUGACUUCGGUCUUGAGGCAAGUGUGCGGACAACAUUCUGCCGAGUGUGUGGACAUUGAUAAUGAGAGCAAUCAAGUGCCUUAAGGGUGUUCGGUGGAUGCCUUGGCGCUGAGAGGCGAUGAAGGACGUGCUACGCUGCGAUAAGCCGU
RNAcentral lists this unclassified non-coding RNA (897 nucleotides) under Bradyrhizobium sp. RSS137. RNAcentral describes it as "partial 16S-23S ribosomal RNA intergenic spacer". The stretch from base 178 to 251 matches the Rfam family "tRNA". Lineage: Bacteria; Pseudomonadati; Pseudomonadota; Alphaproteobacteria; Hyphomicrobiales; Nitrobacteraceae. The record is from RNAcentral.